CCUACGGGUGGCUGCAGUGGGGGAUAUUGCACAAUGGGGGGAACCCUGAUGCAGCGACGCCGCGUGGGUGAAGGAGUGCUUCGGCAUGUAAAGCCCUAUCGGCAGGGAAGAAGCAAGACGGUACCGGACUAAGAAGCGCCGGCUAACUACGUGCCAGCAGCCGGGGUAAGACGUAGGGGGCGAGCAUUAUCCGGAUUCACUGGGUGGAAAGGGAGCGUAGGGGGCCAUGCAAUCCAAGGGUGAAAGCCCGGGGCCGAACCCCGGGACUGCCCUUGGAACUGCAUGGCUGGAGUGCGGGAUGGGCAGGCGGAAUGCCUGGUGUAGCGGUGAAAUGCGUAGAUAUCAGGAGGAACACCGACGGCGAAGGCGGCCUGCUGGCCCGCGACUGACGUUGAGGCUCGAAAGCGUGGGGAGCGAACAGGAUUAGAUACCCGAGUAGUC
This 441-nucleotide ribosomal RNA is filed under the name uncultured bacterium. Its description in RNAcentral is "partial 16S ribosomal RNA". It matches the Rfam family "Bacterial small subunit ribosomal RNA", at positions 338 to 795 of the family's 1533-position model. The record is from RNAcentral.